UUCACUUCUGUGUUUCCAUUCUCCUCCAGGAUCCUCCCACUGGUCAUUGUUCUGUUCUUGUCAUUGCUUUGAUUUCUCUCUUUCCUUUUCUCCUAUCUUUGGAAAAGCUGGUCUGCAAUCCAAGUAUAAGGAUGCCUUUCUUUCCUUGGCAAGUAGAUGGACUGGACCUAGUAUCCCUUGAAAUAUGCUACUGAACAAUGUCACCUUUGUAAUACCAGUGGAAAGGGAGGAAGGGAGGAAUGGAAGGAACAAAGGAAAAGAAAACAGGCAGCCUGUUGGUCUUGAUGUACAGUCAUCUCAUGAAAAGGGCUUUGGCUCAAAAGAUGCCGUGUUGAAAGCAGAACGUGUGAAGUGGUGAGAAAUGGAAUCGUGAGACUUUUGCAUUAAAUCUGAGACCCCACUUUGCUGAAAUCCCAAGAGAAAUGUAUUUUUCUCAUCUCAAGUUAUUCCUGCUGCACUGUCAGACAGGUCAGUAACUGGUAU
This is a long non-coding RNA of Sceloporus undulatus (fence lizard), 483 nucleotides long. RefSeq lists it as uncharacterized. NCBI's taxonomy places the organism in Eukaryota, Metazoa, Chordata, Lepidosauria, Squamata, Phrynosomatidae. The transcript has 3 exons. The record is from RefSeq and is a predicted model, not a curated record.